GAUGAACGCUGGCGGCGUGCCUAAUACAUGCAAGUCGAGCGAACGGACGAGAAGCUUGCUUCUCUGAUGUUAGCGGCGGACGGGUGAGUAACACGUGGAUAACCUACCUAUAAGACUGGGAUAACUUCGGGAAACCGGAGCUAGUACCGGAUGAUAUUUUGAACCGCAUGGUUCAAAAGUGAAAGACGGUCUUGCUGUCACUUAUAGAUGGAUCCGCGCUGCAUUAGCUAGUUGGUAAGGUAACGGCUUACCAAGGCAACGAUGCAUAGCCGACCUGAGAGGGUGAUCGGUCACACUGGAACUGAGACACGGUCCAGACUCCUACGGGAGGCAGCAGUAGGGAAUCUUCCGCAAUGGGCGAAAGCCUGACGGAGCAACGCCGCGUGAGUGAUGAAGGUCUUCGGAUCGUAAAACUCUGUUAUUAGGGAAGAACAUAUGUGUAAGUAACUGUGCACAUCUUGAUGGUACCUAAUCAGAAAGCCACGGCUAACUACGUG
Molecule: ribosomal RNA, 497 nt
Filed under: uncultured bacterium
Lineage: Bacteria
Description: partial 16S ribosomal RNA
Rfam family: Bacterial small subunit ribosomal RNA
Source: RNAcentral